Molecule: ribosomal RNA, 502 nt
Filed under: uncultured bacterium
Lineage: Bacteria
Description: partial 16S ribosomal RNA
Rfam family: Bacterial small subunit ribosomal RNA
Source: RNAcentral
GAUGAACGCUAGCGGCAGGCCUAACACAUGCAAGUCGAGGGGUAGCAGGAUUAAGCUUGCUUAAUUGCUGACGACCGGCGCACGGGUGCGUAACGCGUAUGCAACCUACCUUAUACUGGGGUAUAGCCCGGAGAAAUUCGGAUUAAUCCCCCAUAGUACUAAUGAAUCGCAUGGUUUAUUAGUUAAAGCAUUGCGGUAUAAGAUGGGCAUGCGUCCUAUUAGCUAGAUGGUGAGGUAACGGCUCACCAUGGCUACGAUAGGUAGGGGGCCUGAGAGGGUGGUCCCCCACACUGGUACUGAGACACGGACCAGACUCCUACGGGAGGCAGCAGUGAGGAAUAUUGGUCAAUGGGCGCAAGCCUGAACCAGCCAUGCCGCGUGCAGGAAGAAUGCCCUAUGGGUUGUAAACUGCUUUUAUUUGGGAAUAAACCUCUUUACGUGUAGAGAGCUGAAGGUACCAAAUGAAUAAGCACCGGCUAACUCCGUGCCAGCAGCCGCCUAA